UACGUAGGGGGCAAGCGUUGUCCGGAAUCAUUGGGCGUAAAGAGCGUGUAGGCGGCCCGGUAAGUCCGCUGUGAAAGUCCAGGGCUCAACCCUGGGAUGCCGGUGGAUACUGUCGGGCUCGAGUCCGGAAGAGGAGUGUGGAAUUCCUGGUGUAGCGGUGAAAUGCGCAGAUAUCAGGGGGAACACCAAUGGCGAAGGCAGCACUCUGGGACGUGACUGACGCUGAGACGCGAAAGCGUGGGGAGCAAACAGG
Molecule: ribosomal RNA, 253 nt
Filed under: uncultured bacterium
Lineage: Bacteria
Description: partial 16S ribosomal RNA
Rfam family: Bacterial small subunit ribosomal RNA
Source: RNAcentral